AUCGAACGCUGGCGGCAGGCCUAACACAUGCAAGUCGAACGGUAGCACAGAGGAGCUUGCUCCUUGGGUGACGAGUGGCGGACGGGUGAGUAAUGUCUGGGAAACUGCCCGAUGGAGGGGGAUAACUACUGGAAACGGUAGCUAAUACCGCAUAACGUCGCAAGACCAAAGAGGGGGAACUUCGGGCCUCUUGCCAUCGGAAGGGCCAGAUGGGAUUAGCUAGUAGGUGGGGUAACGGCUCACCUAGGCGACGAUCCCUAGCUGGUCUGAGAGGAUGACCAGCCACACUGGAACUGAGACACGGUCCAGACUCCUACGGGAGGCAGCAGUGGGGAAUAUUGCACAAUGGGCGCAAGCCUGAUGCAGCCAUGCCGCGUGUAUGAAGAAGGCCUUCGGGUUGUAAAGUACUUUCAGCGAGGAGGAAGGCAUUAAGGUUAAUAACCUUAGUGAUUGACGUUACUCGCAGAAGAAGCACCGGCUAACUCCGUGCCAGCCGCCGCCGUAA
Molecule: ribosomal RNA, 505 nt
Filed under: uncultured bacterium
Lineage: Bacteria
Description: partial 16S ribosomal RNA
Rfam family: Bacterial small subunit ribosomal RNA
Source: RNAcentral